Molecule: long non-coding RNA, 3565 nt
Organism: Aethalodelphis obliquidens (Pacific white-sided dolphin)
Lineage: Eukaryota; Metazoa; Chordata; Mammalia; Artiodactyla; Delphinidae
Exons: 3
Source: RefSeq, a predicted model, not a curated record
UAGAAUAACUGCACGUUAGGAGAGUUAGGUCACUGCUGGCCGAUCUGACGGUGAUUUGCAUCCGCUUCGGUACCGGGGAAAGGAAUGUUUGAUCUGACAGAAAGUGGAGGAGGAGGGCAGCCUCUCCACUUCGCAGGUCGCUGCUGGGUCCCCCGGGGAUUUACUGCUUCCUCCAAGGAGCUCCCACUGCAGCUGGAAUAGAGGCUUGUUUCUCCAGCUGUCUAACCUUCAGUGUUAUCUGUCUCUCUUUGACCUCUUAGUUUUAUAAUGAGUCAGUUUAUUUGUGUGUGCAAAUUGAGUUUUCUUAGAAAUAGAACAGAGCUAGAAAGAGGCCCAUGUUUUAGUCGUUUCCUCUGAAGAAGGAGAAGCAGCCAGGGGACCUGGCACGGCAGAAGGUGCUUGUGCUCUGACAGCCCCUGUUGUUGGUGUCUUUUAACACCGUGGAGUGAAGUCUAGUGGUCAGAGGAAGAUUGUCUCCCUGUGGGAGGUGGAAAUAUCCUCAGGGUUUACCAGCUAAUUACUUCUGGAGGCCCUAGGAGCUCAGAGAAUUUGCUUAGCAACUGGCCUGACCGGUCCCCCGACCCCUGCUGUCCCCUGACAUUACCCGACUUACCAGCGGGGCUGAUGGAGCAGUUUGGGAACCAAACACGAUCCAGCAUUUUUGUGAAAAUGGUGCCAAUCUUUUCCUCGAUGGGACCUGAGCCUGUAACCCAGUCCAACAAAACGAGGGAGAGGAAGCCAAAAAAAACUUUUUUGAGAAACAACACAGGCAGUAGGAAAUCAUACUGGUCAGGGCUUGUUUUCCUGACUCAGGGCCUCAUUCCAACCUGUUGCAAUCAGCUCUCCGAGUGUCUAUGGGGACACCCUGGCGCAGGGGCCCCUCGGAGGAGAGGAACUUUUUACAUUUGUGUUUGACUGGGCUCCUUGCCAGGGGCUAAGUUCAAAGUGCAGUUUCCAGUAAUUUGCUGGGACUUCUCUGUGGGUUUGAUAGGCCAGGACAGAAGCCUGCAAGCUGAAGUAAUAUUUCCUGAUUUCUGUCAUUUCUUAAGAAGAGAAGGAAGCCAUAACAUGAGGACAACAGCAAUACCAAUCUCAGAAGGUUUUUGUGAGAAUUAAGUAGAAGUGGCAACAUAAUAUGGAAACAGUCCCUGGCACAUAUCCGUGUAAUCUUGAUGCCGAAGAAACUUCAGUAAUGAGAACAGCUGACUUUAUCUGCACUCAUUGGAUGAAAGUUCUUUUCUGAUGGCCGAUCAGAACAUAUCAAAAAGUAGAAAUGAUUGGAAAGGUUAUAUGAAUUUUAUUUCACCUUUUGAUGUACCUCAUUUAAAGAUAAAACAAUUUUACAGUAAGAGACUCUGUCAGUAGUGUUGAGGUCUGAUUCACUUUUUUCCCCCUCAAUUCUUAAGCUUUUCUGUGCUGAGGAAAUUGGUGUGACAACCGAGAGGAAGAAAUUGAGAUUGUUGUACUGGCAAACCUCGGGACAUGUGUAAAUUGAUAAGUUCUCAAGGGAGAAUCGCUCUAUGAAGAGUCUUUGCCAGACCACAUUAGCUUUCCCCAGAAGUCAAGAGAACGGCCCCUGGCUAACACUGAGAAUGGUCAACCAGGAAAAAGGAUGUUUCUUCAAAGAGAAAGAGCCCAAGAAUUAGCAUCAUGCCAGUUCUGUGGAAAAGGGGGCAUUGCAGAUUCUGGGUGAGAGACUCUAGGAGUCUCACCAAGUUUGUAGGAAAUAUUACGUCUUUUUGAUUUCAGAAAACUCUUUAGAACAAAGUGAUACGGAUAAAGAUUCUCAAGGAGGGAGAUUCAGAGAUGAUUUUCUGUUGUCAAAGAGGGCUCUCCCUGGAGCAAGGAAGAAAACUUGUCAUGUUCAAUACACUGUGAACAUUAUUAGGAAUCGUAAUGCAGGCAUAGCAAAGGGGUUUCAUGGAAACUGUUGAGGAUUCUGGGAAUGUUUGGCCUCAGCAGAAAAGAGCAACUUGAUGAAUUAGUAAUGUCUGCUGUAGGUGUGUGAGGGGGAAGUAAUUGUGCACACAGUAAGUUUGCUUGAGGUACAAUCUUGUGGCAAGUGUUUUGAUCUUGUAGAAGAGGAAAAAAUCCUUUCCUCCACCCUUUUAAGUUUAGUGGAUGGGGCCUGUGAAUUAAACUGGCAGAAGACAGGUUAACAGGAGAAAAGGUCCAUUUUGCAUGCACAUGGGAGCUUCACAGAAAAGAAGUGAAAACCCAUAGAAGUGGUUAGGCUUGGGAGAUUAAACAUCAUUUAACAAAGGGCAGUAAAUUGUGGAAAGUAAUGACAAAGGAGAAGGGAUUUGGGCUUCUAGGGGGCGGUAAAUUGUAAGAAGGUAAAUAUAUGGGGGAAACUAAUGGAAGAUAAGAGUUAUUUUAAUAAGGCUUGUUAUGCAGACUCAAGGGUGCCAUCUUCAGUGACUGAGAAAUUCUCCUCUUCCUGGCACGGGAGAGGGGAAGGAGGACAACUUCGCAAAUACAAAUUGAUGCUCUGCUGUUAGGAAAUAAGGGGGAGGGCAGAGAGGUUCCUCCUUGUCUGUUGUUUCUUAAUUGUGUUCAGCACAAAAUAAUCCUUAUGCCAAAGUGGGCUGUUUUGGGGUGGCAUAUUCUCAUCCUCUUUAUCUGAAAUAAAGAUGAUGUUACCUUAAGAGCUAUUGUGAGAAUGGAAUGAGAUGGUGUCUCUGAAAGCACUUUGAGAACUGUAAAGCAUUCUACAAGUGUAAGGGUUUAUUCCCAUAUUUUAGGUUGCAUUUUCCCCUUCAAACUGAAAUCUCAGUUUCAUAUAAAUUCACGAUGAAAUUGACCCAGUUGAAGGAAAUGGAAUGGAGAUGAGAAAAAAAACCCUUUAUAUAUCUUUCCAAAAAUGCACCAAUUCUUGUACUGUCAAUAAACAGCAGAGGAAGAUAGGAAUGGAGCUAAUUAUGUGCAAACAUCCCUUGACUCCUUUACUUCCCAUCUGAAUUUAAUUCUAAAAAAAGAGACCCUGAUGGAUUCCUGCUUUCAGGUAUAAUUACCUCAAAAUUGACUGACGUUUAAAGCACACACGACACUGUUUAGCUUUAAUUAGAGUAAAUUGGUGGAAUUUAUUUGACCGGUAGUUUUGGGGAUGGUUGGAGGCUGAGAAUAUACUUAGCAUAUCAUUUCCUGCUGAUGCUAAGAUUUAGCCCCAUCAGAGAAUUCUAUAUUUAGGAUAAAAUCACUUAAGAAAUGUAACCCAAUCAUUGUUAUGACCAUGAAGUAAUCAGUCCAGUCAGGGAGAGAUGCUCUGAGAAAAAAAAAUUGCCGCUGACAACAGCAGAAACCAAAAAUCCACAAAAGUUUUAUUUAAACAACCUUGAAGUUUUUCUUGAUUUAAUAAUGUAAAAAUUCUUUUGCCUUGCUAUGACAUUUUUUGACAUUGAUAAUAGGAACACCAAAAAGAAAUGCAGUAUAUGAGAAGUGUCUUAGACCAACUCCAAAAGUAUGAAUAAAUACAUAUUCGUUCGUCUGAGUGUCUCUUAUGAUUGUUUCAAAUUUCUCCAUAUUUGUGGCUAUUUCUUCUUCUUUCUAAUUUUGUUAACUUUCU